This 146-nucleotide unclassified non-coding RNA is filed under the name uncultured Mortierellaceae. RNAcentral's name for it is "sequence contains ITS1". The record is from RNAcentral. Lineage: Eukaryota; Fungi; Mortierellomycota; Mortierellomycetes; Mortierellales; Mortierellaceae.
CAAUGAGUGUUUAAUGGCACUUUAAAUCCAUUACCCACCUUGUGUGCACUGUAAGGAGGCGGCAGAACGGUUGCGCUCUGCCACUUUCAUUAUACAUAUACCAUCUUCUUUCUCGUCUACUUUAAUUGAGUAUAAAAACUCUAAUA